Ribosomal RNA from Fukomys damarensis (Damara mole-rat), 125 nucleotides. Lineage: Eukaryota; Metazoa; Chordata; Mammalia; Rodentia; Bathyergidae. The record is from Ensembl.
GUCUAUGGCCAUACCACCCUGAACAGGCCAGAUCUCAUCUGAUCUCAGAAGCUAAGCAGGGUCGGGCCUGGUUAGUACUUGGAUGGGAGAAAGCUAAAUUUCAGAAGGACUGAUAGCUUUGUAGA